This 41100-nucleotide long non-coding RNA is filed under the name Volvox carteri. Its description in RNAcentral is "long non-coding RNA (VCAR_LNC002251)". The record is from RNAcentral. Lineage: Eukaryota; Viridiplantae; Chlorophyta; Chlorophyceae; Chlamydomonadales; Volvocaceae.
UAAUGUAUGUUGUUACAGGGUGGUUAACUUCGCCAGCGGCCCCCUUUCCCGGGGCAGUCCCUGCUCUCCCCUGCUAGAGGGGCACCCUAAUCCGUCACCCCAUCCGACUUCAGAAUGUAUUCGUUGGGUUCGGCAACUCACCACCAGCAUCCAACCAAAUCUAGCGGAUCAACGGCGCAUCAACUUAGUUCCUGGUCAGCUCGCAAGUUGAUAUUAUCACGUCCUACACCGUCCAUAAGAUGGGGGGCCACCUCCCAUUUCAUCACUCCUCAAACACCCGAGGAGCCGGCAGGCGGAUUUGAACCCGGGUCGUAUAAUGUAUGGAUGCUAUGGAGAAGGUUUAGCUCACUUGGCAUCUCCUUUAGUACUCUUUGCCUGAUGUUACAUUGGUGCGAAUUGCUAGGAGGUGGGAACUCCCCGGAUCGGUCUGGUUACGAGCAUAACGCACUCCAAUCAUGACCGGAGGUGGAUGCCCGGGUGGGCGGGAAGUAUACCAGCUGAGUAAAAAUGAAGACCUCCAUUUCAGACGGGGACUGACAAUAAAAAUGCCACAAUAAUAAAGAAAUGCGCAUUCCGACGGGAAAUCAAAUAACCAUUAUCCUAUGGAUAUGCCCGGAGGACGUUCGCUCGAGGGGGGAGGAAUAUAAGAAGGGUCAGCUCCCUUGGCAUCUCCCAGAGGACUCUUUGCCUGGUGUUACACUCUCGUAGUCCGAGAGCGACGGAAUGUGAUGAUACGAUUGAUGGCUGCGCGCGAGCCAGAUGAAAUGAAUGAAUCCAUCAGCUUAUUAAAGAGAAUCAGCAGAAAGGAGAGCGAGGAAGUAAGCUGACGGCCAGCAGAAGGAAGCUGGUGGGCUAGCUGUUGCACCGAUCUAAGUAGCCCGGCUGAAACGCCCCGCCCGCCCGCCCGCCCACACACGCAGAGCUUGGGAAAGAAUAUCUCGCAACGCACUUACUGGGCACGGUAGUAGUGUGGGUUGCUGUCAGCCCACUUCUUCCAGACCCUGCUCGAUUUGAUCGAAUAGGAGGAAGCAGCAGCAGCAGCAGCAGAUCGAUCGAUCGAUCGAUCGAUGGAGCGGGCAGGCAGGCACAGCGGGUUAGGGCUGGCGUGGUGGAACGAGUGAGGUGAAGAGCACCGUACGUUGUACCUACAUAUGCCGCUGGACACUAGACGUACCGCUGGUGCUUGAUUAUAGGCAAGUGAGCCCAACAAGCAAAUGAACCACCCCAUGCGUCAACUGAUGGUUGCUACGGCGGGGGGCCUGUUGCAUGCAUGCACGGGGAUGACCCCCCACUCCUGCACGCGUGUGUACGUGUAACCCCGCCCUGUGCUUGAUGAGACGCGCGGCGGCGGCUGAACGCAUCCUGCGGAUCUGUAGCAUACCUAUCAAGAUGGCUGCGUGCGUGCGUGCGGGUGAACAUUUCAACAUGUAUAGUAUUCCUUCUCUCACGCACCUGGCGUCGUCGUGGUGGAAGCCGACAUAGCCGUUGAUGGUCAGCCAGGCGCUCUGAAUGCCCCUCACAUUGGCGACCGUCAUCCGCGUUAACAGAUGCGCGCACUUCUGGGUGGGAUUGGUCGCGGGGUUCAUCUGGACAGAGUAACUCUGUACUGUGGUCGCUGUCUCGGUGUUCGCCACGGCUGUGCCGUCAGACCAGGAAAAGCUGGACGAAGCUGAGAACGAGAUGCCAGCCUGAAAUCCCCCCAGAUCGUUUUUAAAUCCGAACAAAAUUUGGACCUGUGGCGCAGGGUUGAAGUAGUCCUAAGCAGUCGGCGUACGGAGCAAUGACGGAACGAAUGAACCACGCAUAGCGAGGGUGGCGAAGCACCAACUGACAGGUUGCAAUCUGACGAAGCCGCUCCUUGGCACCGGUCAUGUCACAGCCGGCAGCGGCGCGCGCAUCGGUGCAAGACGUACAGUGAACAUGAAAUAUUUGCACGGACGAUGAGCAGCACUUGUAAUGACUGACAUGUAUUUUUGUGGGCACACAUAAUGUUCUCCCCCCCCCGUUUUAGUAUUGGCUUGCAUGUACCACUUUGCCGCAAGUAAUUGGCAUGGCUGUCGGGAACUGGCUAGGUACGUACGAUGGCCCAAACCUACCCUGUUCGUAACUCCGAAGCUCUGGGUUGAAGUUCGGCUCCGAGUGAUGAUUGUUGACUGGUACGACUGUGUAUGCAAGCGGGCAGGCAGGUCGGAUCUGAAAACACACACACGAAUUUCAUUACCCGGAAAGACUGCUAAAUAUGUCGCACGCAUGCACGCACACAUGCACAUGAUGACCAGGAACUAAGUUGAGGCGCCGUUAAUCCGCUAGAUUUGGUUGGAUGCUGGUGGUGAGUUGCUGAACCCAACGAAUACAUUCUGAAGUCGGACGGGGUGAAAGGAUUAGGGUGGCCCCCCUCUAGCAAGGGAGAGCAGGGAACUGCCUCCAAGGGAAAGGGGGCCGCUGGUGAAGCUUAACCACCCUGUAACGACAUAAAUGAUGGACACCCUAGCUGCACGUACAUACACGUGCACGCAAAGUAAUCAUUUGGCAUGCAGUAGUUCUAACUAGCUGUCUGUAAACACCAUCACCCACAUGUGCGUCGAUCUGGCAUCUGUAGUUGAAGGGCCUGUACGGGCACACCACCAGCAUGGAGGUUACGUUGUCCAGCCCCGACGCCGUUCUGUUCCACACCGGCUCGUCCAGGCCGGUGGCGAUCUGCGCCGGCUGCAGCCGCAGGAACCAGUCGCGCCACCAGUCGGUGUUGCCGUCCCAGUCGACCUCGCAAUCGUCUCCGCCGCUCUGGGCCCUGCAGUAGGCACUCAUUAGAGCUUUCAGGCGCUGCAUGAACACUGGCGAGAUAGACCCCUCAAAAGCAGACACCGACGCGCCCCGGGUGUCGAGCUUUGCGGCCGUCUGCUGAUCACUGUAACUACUGGUCUGCUGCUGUGCCGCCCUAGCUGCAAUGUUGACCGAUGACUCAUCAAGCAUGUAGGGCGCGGUCGUCGUCGUCGUCGUCGUCGUCGUUACGGCGGCAGACGACUUCUCGUAUGCGGCCGUGGCGGUGGAGACGGCGUCGAUGGCAGUGUCCACAGACGCCAUCCGGCUACUGACAGUCGAACGCAGGGGUGGCGGUGGCGGGGACGAACGCAGGGGUGGCGGUGGCGGGGACGAACGCAGGGGUGGCGGUGGCGGGGACGAACGCAGGGGUGGAGGUGGCAGGGACGAACGCAGGGGUGGCGGUGGCGGGGACGAACGCAGGGGUGGCGGUGGCGGGGACGAACGCAGGGGUGGCGGUGGCGGGGACGAACGCAGGGGUGGCGGUGGCGGGGACGAACGCAGGGGUGGCGGCGGGGAUGGCUUGGCGUUCUCGUUAGGAGCAGGGUCUGCCGUGCGGGCUGAGGCAGACGUGCAAGUGAGACUGUUGAGGCUGUAACGCUGCGGGUUGACGUAUCCGUAGGCCGGUAGUUGCAUGGAGAGGGUGAUGGGCGUGGUCACACGCACGGUGGUGCCGAUGACGGUGAAUGCAUUCGCCCUGGCGAUCUGCGCGGCCUUGGCGGUGUUCACGAUAUACCACAGCGGGUGGUACAGAUAUUUAAAAUCAGUCCUCCCGUUGUUGAUGUUCUUCCAGGCUCGCCAGUCGUUUUGCCGCGUGCCCACACCGCCAGAGAACUCCAGGUACACCUCUGCAGAGUUAAGGGGAGGGGAGUGCAGGAGAGCGGAGCGGAGCAGCAGCAGCAGCAGGACAUAAAGAUGGAGCGGCACCGCUGGGUAUCAUAUUUGCACGGUUACACGCUAGGGAUUCUGUCGUAGGAGGACGCACGGCUGUCAGUAUUAUUAUUUAGUGCAAGAAAAAUAGUGGUGGCACGCAGCUAGCAACAGGGAGCAAGUGGUCGAGCGAACGUGCCCAGCCAGCUGUCUGGCGCCAUCGAUGCACUCACCAAGCUUGCCGACCGCGGCAGUGCGACCCAGAGAUAUGGUGAGGGAGGAGCAGUACGUGUCAUUUGGACUAGUGGUCACUGAAGCCGUUGCCCCCUGUUACAUGCAUGUAUACCGAUGCGACAGAAUAAUUAAAAAGCGUGGCCAACCGGUGGGGUGAGCAUCUGAUGGAAGGACGGAACGCGAAUGGAAGGAAAUGGAACGCAAUGAACCCGGUUUGUUUGGUAGGUUGUUUGGUAGGUGGGCCGACAGAAAGCACGCAAAUCCACUUCACAAUGCUGAGAGCGGGCGGGCGUGCGCUAUCGCUAUCGUGUGAGGCAGAUAGACAUGUCGAUGUUGCACGAUACGUUGUUGCUGGGCCCAUGCAUGGAAAGCAUCUGUGUACGAUACCGCGCGGAGACGUAAGUACCGUGGAUUGCCCGAUGAUUCUCGCCGUGGACUCGGAGGCUGUGGAACUGCGGUUGCAUAUAUGCGGACGCGGGGCGGACAGCAGAGUGUGAGAGUGUGAUUGAAGUACAUCAGGCACAUAUCCAGCUGGAUGGCCAGCCCUACCUCCAGUCGCCCGCAUGUAUGUGCAUUUAGAAAGAACACACAUCGACCACAUUGCACAUGCUGUUAUUAUUAUAAGUUUAAUACUGCUGCUGGCUCUACUCCUUCGGGUCUGGAGCCCACUGUAACAUACUACUACUACUACUACUACUACACUACUACCGACCGCAGUCGCCCAGCCGCACCGCCGUACUACCUGAACGCGAAGUCGAAGGUCGACUCCAUCGUGGCCUCCAUGGCGCCGAAGGUCGCCGUGACCUUGGUGACUACACCCGCCUUGAACUGGUCGCUGUAGCCCCUCGCCUGAGUCACCGCCACCGAGGACGCGGUCUCCAGCCGGGGCGAGAAGGUGCAGACGCCCUCGCUGGUGGGGUUGGGCCGGCAGGUCAGCACGCUGCGCGAGGCCGCCCUGGGCGCGUCCGAGGCGGGGGUGAGCACCAUCUGGGUGUUGCAGGUGUUGUUGCUGAGUGACGGAAAAUCGUAGAAGUACUCCUGAUACCAAUUCGUAGUCCCCAUGAAAUCGAUUUCAUCACUGCGGGCGAUCGAGCGAGACAGGUAAUAACAAGCGAUGACGAUCAAGCAUAAAUGGAGCUCGAGACACAAACAUGCCCACACCUGUAGCAGCCGGUACACAGUACGACGCUAUAAAUACGCGCGUAGCGCGACCACCAGCAUCUCGAGAGGCCUUUUCAGCGGCCAGCUGCUACAACACCCAAGCGCGUGCUUGAUGUGGGGGAUGUGGGACAGGGGGUUCAUAUCUUCACCCUGGGCCCGUUACCUGACAGACCCUGCCUUUUCCAGUAUUUCGGGGCACCCUCAUCCAGUCACCCCCUAGCCAACUCGUCAGUGAAACCCUCAGGUUCCGCACCCACCACCAUCCAACGGGUUCAACCAGAUCGACGAUGGCUCAACUCCAUUUCUGGUCAGAUCUCAGGCACAUUCUUACCCUUCCACCAUCGGAAGGAUUUUCCUCCUUGGCAAGUCUCGAUCCCGGAACCUUCGGGGUCAUCGGUGUGUCCCUUACCAGUAGUGCCUGACCUAUGCAUGCAGGACGCACAAAUGCUUCAUUAUGCGACUUACUAUCUGCACGCAGGGUAGCGCAGCUCACCACUUGGCGCCGCUGUUGGAGUAACAGUAGUCCUGCACCAGGUCAGUGAGCGCCUGAAUGGCGCUUCCAGGGUAGAACUGGGUUGGCUGGGCCGGCGGGCCACCCGCACAUGCGCCUGCGUGCACGUGAAAGCGGGUGCAUGCGUGCACACUCAGUUCCUUCCUGGAAAACCGCUAAGAAGCAGGCCAGCAGAUACGAAUACAUUUAGGUCCACGUAAAUAUCACACCGCACUUGCACCCAUCCUUGCUUCAUGUGAUGGAUGUACGAUGCAUGUACAUGCGCUGUACACACGUACGUGUGUGGAUGAUGCGGGCCCCAUCACCGGUUGGCGACCCCUGCUGAUAUUGACCUAAGGACAUGACCUCCAGCAGCAACCUCGCUCAUCACUCAUUCAUGCACCCAAGCAUGCCCGGCGAUAGAUGGGCCACCGGGCAGGCCACCGAGCGAGCAGAAGGCUGUACCUAACCUCGUAGACCACACGAAAGAUGAUGCGCACAAGCACGCGCUAUCUAUGCUGGCGUCGGUGCUCAGUCACAAUUCCCACACGCGCAUUACUACUUGGGAGUGCUAUUCGUCGCACCGAUGGUGGCCCAUAGACGUACCUGAGUACGCGCCCAUGCUGCUCCUCUUCACCCAUAGACACAAACCCCCAUACGGCAUAGCGGGCGUGGCGCUGCGCUUUGCCCAGCCCUGGCUGUUGAAGGCGACGCAGCUGGGGUUUCGGUUGCAGGCGGCCAACGCGCUGGAGGCGGAGCCGUAGUUGCCGAUGUCGUCACCGUCUCGGUCAAUGUCGCGGUACGCGAUGUAGCCGGUGUACGCCGUACAAGCUGAUGCCGGCCGUAGCCGCAGGGCAUAAGCAGCAGCGUUAGUCAGGCAGGGGGCCGACAGAAAGAUUAGCGCCACUGAUUGAACAGGGCACGCGGGCCCCCCGCCCCGCCCCGUCCCCCGCAUUCCCCUCAUACACACACGCACGUUCAACUUGAUAGAUUGCACACCCGCGUACUUUGUGGAUAGCUGUUGAACGAACGGUUGAGGUUUUCGUCGUCUGGAGCGAGGUCGGGAAACAAGCAGCGAAGCUUACCUGUCGCAAGGUGACGCCGCGACGCGGGGACUACCUCCCCCUCAGCAACAACAAUGGCAGCGCCGCCAUCCGCCACCGCUGUCACUUCCGCCCCGGCCGCCGAGGCUUCCUCGCUGGUGGCCGUGGUGUCGACCCCAGAAGAUGACGCAAGCACGGUCCGGACGCCGACGAAGGAGAGGCACAUCAGCGCCGCGGCGGCAGCCACAAGCAGGGUUGCCUUACCGCUGUAUGGGGAAACGGCCGCCCGCCGUCGUCGCUGCAUGCGCUGCCGGUGCACCUGAUGGUGCGGGCCUGGACUGGUGAGAUUGGUCGGGAAUGUACGCUCCAUCCUCUGCCUGUCAGCUUGAUGAUAAGGAGCCGCCGCAGCUUCGGUGCCUGACGACGUAUGGCCACGAUCUUCUGCGAUCUGUACGUUGCCGUGACGUGGUGGUAGGGACACGCAGUCAUCAGCAAUGUGCGUGGGUGCGUGCAUACCGCCGCCCACAUAAGACAUAGCAGUACACCUGGUUCGUGGGACUUUCUUACGUCGUGCUCUAUACUAUGUAUGUGCAGCAAACGCGAUGAAAGUAUCUGACGAAGAGGCAGUGAUCGGGCACACGCAUGUGCGUUCAUCCAGGGACAGGGGCAGCAGGCAUAAACAAUUACGAGCAAACUGCACUGCACCACGAAGUGCUGGCGGGCCAACGACGAUCAUCAGGCAGGCGGGGUCCACGCGUUUUCAUACGCCGUGUAUGCCGUAUUCUUUGAAGCUUGAUUGGCUUGCCAAGGCUUUGUUAGCUCGGUACGUUUCCAUUUUAUGGACUGUCCUCAUCCAUACGUUGAAACGUUGGUUACAGCUUUACUGGCGAUUACAUUGCCAGGCAUUGCCGCCAUUGCUAAGGAGGCAUCCCGCAAAAGCUAUAAAAGUCACCUAACGUAGCGGACAAAGAUUGACCAGUGGCCGCUUCCACACCUCAAGUUGUGACGACGCCGUUACAGCUACGAAGGGAGUUUCCCGGCUUGGAACCCGCAACACGGUAACGCCUGGAGCUUUAUAUUUCGCCAACUUCACUUCGGCCUUGCGUGUCGUCACCCGCUCCUAACAAGCGCUGAGGACUGGCACUCUGGCAGACGAGGGAUAUAUCCGUGCAAGCAAGAGAAACUCCUUGCACAUUGCAAAUGAAAAUGCUGCGGCUUACUGCGAGCGAGGAAACGCAGUCGAAAAGCUCGCGAUGAUCUCGUAAUGCUAAGUAGGCGGCAGUUGGAUUUUGAUCGCCCGCCCGACCGUCAGGGCGAUGGAUUCAGGGCGCUGACCUGGAGCGGCCUGGUUCUCUUUCAGCUGGAUUCAGGGCGAUGACCUGGAUCCAGUUCGCGCGCACUUUUCGAUACAGGGCGAUGGGUGAUGUACAACAAAGGUCACAUUUGGCAAGAGAAAUUGUGUUCUUUUGCCAAGUGUGAUCUUUUUUGUACGCCAUGGGUGACGUACAACAAAGGUUACACCUGGCAAGAGAAAUCAUGUUUUCUUGUACGUCACCCAUGACGUACAACAAAGGUCACACUUGGCAAGAGAAUGCGAUUGUUACAGUGGACCCCGAACGGGUCGAGUGCAGCGCCCCUAGGAACGCCUCCUAGAACAAAAUUUCUCUUGCCAAGUGGGUCCUUUGUUGUACGUCAUCCAUCGCGCUGUAUCGAAAAGUGCGCGCGAACUGGAUCCAGCUGGACCUGCAGGUCAUCGCCCUGCUGCUGAAUCCAUCGCCCUGACGGCCGGGCGGGGCAAGACCCCGCGUCCUCUUGACCCCUCUUACAUGCCGUGCAACUUCUGUGCAGCUGUUUAUUUCGGAACGAAGAUUCUCCGACACGUAUGCCUGACUAAGUUUGACGCCACUCGCACCAUGGCAGAGAUCAUGGUCAGGACGGCCUUGCUUGCAAUCCGGUUGCGCGCUCUGAACAGGGGCAACAGAAAUAUGUGCGGCGAUGUCUCGACCGUUUGCUGCUUGGCUGCGGGCUGGGUUGUAGACUAGUUGCGCCCGCCUUCUGUACGCCUGCUCGACUUUAAAUAAUCCGUACGCAUAUGCCUACAACAAGCAAGAUGACACCUUUGUAUAUCUCAUUCGAGUUUACUAACAAAUUAAUUGUUUCUGGAAAUAAAGGUUUCCAGCGUAUCUAUUAAGGUUAAGGGACCGUGUUAGGGAGUACGUAAACUCGCUCAUGGGAGAAUACCUCGGGAAACGGAGUAGUAGCACACCAAACAUUCGCACCCUAUACACCACAGCAGAAUGGUAGGGCAGAGCGAUUAAAUUGGUCGUUAAUGGGGAAAGUUCAAUGUCUGCUAGUCGAAAGCAGACUUCUUACUAAGGCCUGGGCACUUGCAGUUCAGGCAGCCUGAUACUUGCUUAAUCGUUCACUUGUUCAUGGGCUCAAGGGCACUCCAUCUGGGCGCGGUGGGGACGACCUGAUAUGAGUAUAUUCCGCUAAGGUGGGAUGCACUUCCGCUAUCCACUGACAAAUAUACUACCAACGAUUUUCAAGGAUGGAAAUUGUAUUCUUUGGAUCGGCCCUAAACUUUGUAAGGACAGUAAAGGAAGUACAAUCGCGAUCGAUCUCGACCAGGGUGAGACAGCCCGAUCGGGUCCCGACAGGAAUGGCACUUGUCCUGAAAAUCCCGACAGGCUUUGAAAAUGCUUUCGGGCGGACCCGACGAAAAAGGGGGAAAAUGCCAAACGGCCAUCGGGAGCCCCCGUCGGGGCCCGGAGGGCCCCCGUCGGGGGACCCGACAUGGUUAGGGGCGCUAGGACCACCCGAUCGGGUGCCGUGGGUCGUCGGUGCUGGUGCUGGUGCUCAAUCUGGAUGUGCUGCUCCUGUUUAUCCGCAGCCAAGGCGCCCAGUGGGAUAACGUGCCUGCCUUGCUUAAGGCCCUAUCGUGUGCCCAGACUGUGGCAAUGCUCUUCCUCAUGUGCGAUCUGCUGAAGCCCAUGAGUGUUUUGAGCCAGCAGUUUCAGUCUGAUUCGAAGUUGGUGCCGCACAAGGUUUCCAUUCUAGUAAAUACCGCGCGAAGCAAGUUAUCACGAGUAACCGAGAGCGAGGCUGAGGGCCAGCUACGCAAUGCCGAGGCCCUUUGUGGGUUUCUGCGCGCCUUCAGUACCCGAGGCAAUUGGCAUGCGAAGAAGGGCAAGAAGAUUCCGUUAGAGGGCGAAAUAGAUCUCGACGAGUUGGAGGACUUUGCGAUUGAGUUUGUUGCUGAGGUCUGUUCGCAUCUUGAUGAGCGGUUUGUGGAGUCAGAAGUGUUAGAUGCUUUCAAAAUCUUCGAUCCCAAAUCAUAUCAGGGGAUGCCGAAGGACAAAGUAAAGUCCUUUGGCAAAGAAGAGUUCAGGGUGCUGCUUAAGAAUUUCUGUAGCAAGUCGCAGGCAAAUCAGUUAUUUGAGCUCACUGAUAAGAAUCUCCCUCGGGUCCUUGAGGAGUGGGAGGUUGCUAAGGCCGUUAUGUACGAGUAUAGCAACCAGAAUGAAUGGGCGGAGUGCAGCCAUUUGUGGUGCCACAUUGUUAAGGAGCACCUGUCGUCCAUGCCCAACGUCGUGCAGUUUAUCUUCGUCGCUAUGGUUGUGCCGCUGCAAACGGCCUGUGUGGAGCGCGGCUUUUCCUUGCACCGCAUCAUCAAGGAUCGUCUCCGGAACCGCUUGCGUGUGGUUACCAUUGACUCCUUGAUGCGAGUGCGGCUACUUGCUCAGCCUUUUGAGGUCAUGGAUUUCAGCGAUGCAUCUGAUGUUUACGCAUCUGGCACUGCGGCCCCCACCCUAAAAACCCUUAUGGGGGUUUCACGCACUACAGUGCCAUGCUUGGAUAGUGAUGUUGAGAGCGAUGAGGAGCCGGCUGAUGAGGGGGAAGAUGACGAAGAGGAGGCCAGCGAGGCAUUUAUGAGUGAUGGGGAUCCAGAACUGUCCAGUGAGUCUGGCAGUGAGGUUGCCGAUGAGGGGGAGAUGUUCCUCUCCAGUCCUACGGUGUCUAAGGGUCUCCUUGAAGAGCUCGGGUUGUGAUGCUCACAGGCAGACGUGCAGGCGUGCAUGUGUUGCUGUGUGUGUGUUUGUUCGUGCAUAUCAGAACUGUGAACUGCAAACUGAGAACUGGAAACUGCGCAUAUAAAAUACGAAUAAAUGUAAUUUCAAGCGGCACACAGCGAAAUUUCGUUCUUGCGUCACCCGACAGGUUUUGGGAUGGGCUAUCGGGGCACCAGACAGAAAUUGAAAAAAAAAAAAGAAAUUGAAAGAUAUGCAAAAACGCUAUCGGGCGGGGCCGACGGGCAUGGGAAGGGGAAAACCGGCAACCCGACCAUUUUAGGAAGGUCCUGUCUAACCCUGAUCUCGACUCGCAAGCCCCAAACGCACGUACACAAGAAGUGGAAUAAACCACUGAAAUAUUUCCCGUUCUAAGGAAUACACAAUGGUUAUGCCCUGUGAAGAGGGAGCUGGGCAUGCCAUGUGUAAGAUUAUCAAUGCCAUGAGUAACAAUAUCGCAAGCGUACUGGGCUUAUUAGGGAGCACGGUGUACGCACCGCUGCAAACCGUGACCCGCAAUUUGCGGCGCCGCAGCACUUGCAGAAGAGUACAGUUAUCCAGAAGGUGCACCAAUGAACCUAGGCUGGAUACCUGAUGAUCAGCCACACGUGGGACAUGCCGACAUUUAAGGACCACUGGGCCAGCCGAACUCCGGAUCUCGACGCGCUCUCCUGCAUACGGGCUUUUAUUAUCCGAACUAGGUCAUGUGAAUAACAUCUGGUCAUAAACGCGUACUUGAUCCGGAUGUUAGGUGCUCCGUAUGCGUCGCAGGGUGGGCGCAGAACCAGAGAACACAAUUUCCAUUCUUGAAAAUCGUUGGUAGUACAUUUGUCAAUGGUUAGCGGAAGUGCAUCCCACGGUGGGAUUUUUUUUCCGUUUAGGGCGGGUCUCAAAUAAUUCUAACCUAUGUAACAAAGUUGCUAGGGUCGUCGUAAUUUAUUCCUUAAGUGUGAGGCUCUGGGGGGGGCUAUGCCCCCCCCAGACCCCCCCGAUAAGUUACAACUCCCCUCAUAGACCAAGAGUCACGCACUGAGUUGGCGCGUUUUCGUUCGUGUGUGCACUCUUCGUGCACAUGCGGCCGCACCGCAUUCACUGUUGUUAUCGUUGUUGUCGAGCUGAUUAGGCGAUAGCUUGCGCUUAUGCUGAUUACCCUCCAUGGAGGGCAGGGGUAAUGGCGCCCGUGUCAUCGGUCGCCGCUGGCAGCAACACCAUUGUCGAUGCAUUACCGACAAUAGCACCGCCAUCCCAAACGCCUGUAUCAGGAAAAUUUCCAGGCUUAUUUUGCUGUUUUGGUGUCUGUCCGACGUUCGAGUCGUUGCCUUUUGCGUGUUUGGCUAUGUGAGAACCGGUCACACAUUCUGCUAUGCCGCGUUGACUCACGGGCUUGACCUUCUUACGGCCCCUCAUAUCUAUUCUAUGAUUGACUAGGGGGGCGGCCUUUCAAAGCCGAAAAGGGGCUCGGCCCCGGUGCAGCCACUUGACCCCCGUUUGAUUCGCAGGGAAGUCCGUACGGCAUAAGAGUGCCAGCACAAGAACGCCGCCGCGUUUGGAGUACAGACUUAUUAUUGAAAUCCUCAAACAAUAAAGGUCGGCAGACUUGCUACAGCGGUGUAGACCUGUCUGGAUCAUCGCAAGCACGCAGCCGCCAUAGCAUUAUCAGUACUCUAUUUACUGAACCGUUAGCCUUCUCGUGAUGCGGCAAUCCGUAGAAUGACCUACACACAAAGCAGGAGUGUCAUUGCGGCAACGUGUGUUGCCGCUGCUGCGCCAAAUCCAUGAGUCGGGACUGCCCGAUAGGUAGGUGGUACUACCGUUGCAUCCAUGUUCGACGCCGGCCCAUCUGCUGGCUGGCUGGCAGUUCAAGGCGCGCCAAAGUGCUUGUGCUUCAUGGACCAAUUGUUGUCCGCUCCCAGCCAGAACGCAUUCGGGCAUCGUUCCAAUUGAACAUUAUGAAGUCGGAAUGCAGCGGCAAAGCUGAUGGUGUGUCGCAAAGGCACACUUCAUUUGAACUUGGAUUGAAUGAAUGAAGAAGAGAAUAAGAAGGACAACAAUCAAACAGGCACGAGCGAGACGCCAGGAGGGAGGUGGUUGCCAUGGGUUGGUCUAAAGUUGCCGAGCAUGAAGGAACCAACCCAUCAUGCCGUUUGCUUAUGAAUCUAUAAUGUAAGGGACAUGCAACGACGUCAGAGGCAAGGCUGCGGCGUGAGGGGAAGUCAAACUCGAAGCCAUCGAAAGCUAUCUUCGCGCUCCGAAGUAUAUAAAUGUUCUCCUUUGGCCAAUCAAUAAAGAAAUCAUGCAGCUUUUACAUGCAAUCCUUAGUGGAGUGAGAUAUGGAAAUUGAUCUCACCCUGGACAGCCAUCUUCGCCCACAGAUAUAUCUGAAUUCAUUCCCUUGGUCUAUCAAUAGAGAUUUAGAAUAGCUUUCCGACGCAAUUUAAAGGGGGGCGAGAUAUGAAAGUUAAUAUGUUAGGAAGCUAGCUUCGCCCACACCUUUAUCCGAAUUAAUUCCUUUGGUCCGUCGAUAGAGAGUUAAAAUAGCUUUCAAUCGCAAUUUUAAUCGGGGCGAAAUAGGAUGAAAUGUUACACCAUGACUGACGGACUGACAGCAGUGAAUCUACCCCCCCAAUGGCGCCUCGCGCCCGGGGCCUCGCCCAAAAAUGCCUGUUUAUUCCUGUUUAUUCCUUAUUUGCCACAUUGAUUACGAUGUGUAAGGUGGAGUGCAUGCAACUAUGGUAGCGUUUGGUAUAUAUAACAUCAGCUGCAAGAUAUGGACCAUGUGUUAUUACAAGUUACGUGUGUUCGUUUUUGUCAUUUGCUUUCGUCUUUCGUCUUCCGCUUCCGUCUCUUGCCGUACAUUUGCUGUGAGUUGCUGUAACGUGUGCGUUAGUGUUGAGACUUGCUGCAUGAUGGCUAGGCACGAUUAAUAGGAUUAAUUUUUGCAGAAUUAUGGAUGUCUAAAUCAUGUUUUAAUAUGGUGGGCUACGUAUUAGCUGUGCGCAAGUGUGACGGUGAGGAGUUGCUGCAACGUGUGAGAUAGUGAGACUUGCUGCAUGUAACCGUCUGUCUUUUGCUCGGCCACUACUUCGCAGUGCUCAUCUGCACUUCAUAAACUACCAUUAUUCCUCUCUUUCCUCUCUUUCCUCUCUUUCCUCUCUUUCCUCUCUUUCCUCUCUUUCCUCUCCCUCUUCUCCCACCUCUCCCUCCUCUCCCUCUCCCUAGCAUUAAUAGUCCAGUAUUAAAAGUUGAGCAGGCGUACAAAAGGCAGGCGCAACUAUGGCCCCAGCAUGCAAUUGGUUGCAAGCAGCAAACGGUGGAGACAUCGCCGCACAUAUUUCUGUUGCCCCUGUUCAGAGCGCGCAAUCGGAUUGCAAGCAAGGCCGUCCUGACCAUGAUCUCUGCCAUGGUGCGAGUGGCGUCAAACAUAGUCAGGCAUACGUGUCGGAGAAUCUUCGUUCCCGAAAUCAACAGCUGCACAGAAGUUGCACGGCAUGCAAGAGGGGUCAAGAGCACGGGCAAAAUCCAGCUCCCGCCUAUUUAGCAUUACGAGAUCAUCGCGAGCUUUCCUCGCUCGCAGUGAUAAAGCCGCAGCAUUUUCAUUUGCAAUGUGCAAAAGGAGUUUCCUUGUGCACGGAUAUAUCCCUCGUCUGCCAGUGUGCCAGUCCUCAGCGCUUGUUGGGAGUGGGUGACGACACGCAAGGCCGAAGUGAAGUUGGCGAAAUAUAAAGCUCCAGGCGUAACCGUGUUGCGGGUUCCAAGCCGGGAAACUCCCUUCGUAGCUGUAGCGGCGUCGUCAUAACUUGAGGUGCGGAAGCGGCCACUGGUCAAUCUUUGUCCCCUACAACGGAUCCAGUGUUCGAUUCCACGAACGUAAUGGGUCAAGAUUCCGCCCACAAUGCCAAAGGAUGUGCCAAAACACACCCCUGUCGCAGCAACACCCACUGCCAUCAACGUCGUCACCCCCACCACAGCACAGCCACUAUCUGGACGCCGCCGACACAACACUAUCACAAGCAGCAAAGAUGGUACCAACAUAUUACUCUCUGGCGCCUGACUACUGAGAACGUUCUUUGUCCCAGUAACACACAUUGAACGACACCCCAGAAUUACCAUAUGGACGCGGCGGUUUUGGAGGAGUCACAGGUAAGCAGCAGGCGCUACAUACGGUGGUGCAGGCGGUGAACAGCGACCAGACCGUUCUGCAGGACUAUCGAUCGAUAUCAGCAAGGAUGAGGCAUGAGAGCCGUUUGAAGUAAUUGGACUGCCCCAGCGCGGCUAAACAGCGUGAGCCACAAUAAUCCCAUUCUAUCAGUGGUGGUUGGACGCCUGUGUUGUCUACAAACAGUUACGCUGGGAGAUGAAAAGGGUCAACAUUUCAAACAAGUUAUGUCGGCUUCCUUGAAGCCGGACAAAGGGCGGGGCCCCCCUGCAUCCGUACAGGCCGGUAGCUAGCGCGGCAGUUGUUACAAUCUAUGGGUAGUGUCAACGUGGUGGGAGCUGUGCUUGUCGCAGCAGUGCUGAUGCUGUGGGAGGUGGGAUGCUUGUCAGAGCACGGGAGGCAGGAAGCCCGGCGGAAGGUCACCACGCCAUUCGGUGGGCAGUAGGGUGGGCAGAGGCCCGCAGGCACCAUAGUCACCUAGAACCUACCGUCACGCUGAUCCUGUAACCCGCCUCCCGAACCGCCCCGUACACAUGAUACCUCGGACAUAGCCUCGUCACCUACGUUGGGGACAUUCCAGCCUCCUCAAGCGCGGGGGAUCUACACACCGACCUCUACAGUUCGAAAUACCAAGGGGUUACCCAGAGGGCAUGGCACUAGUACUGGUGUAACGAACGAAGCUGGGAAACCCCUUGUUGCACAAGCGAGGGCAGCACUGGCCGCACUGGCCGAUAUUGUCCGCAGGCCCCCGAGAACACCGGUGGGAAACGAAACGCCCUAUGGAUGGAACCCCCCCCCCGCCGUGGGUCGGGAAACGCAUCCUCCACAUGAACGAGCGAGUGGAGGGGGGGGCAUGGAAAUUCGCGGAGGUGCGACGACCUCAUAUAGACGCGGAACGCAGAAACACCCACCUCGAGUUCCCACCUCGAGUUCCCACCUCGAGUUCCCACCUCGAGUUCCCACCUCGAGUUCCCACCUCGAGUUCCCACCUCGAGUUCCCAGCCCGCGUCCCGCUUCGCCAGGACGCCAGAGCAUCGGGCAUCUACACAGUGAUGGAUCAGUGCAAAAAUCCCAGCGUGAUGACAAAGAAAUACAAAUCGUAGGAGCUGCCGCGGUUGAUGCACACACCGACACGAGCAUCCACAUUGAUGUCAACGCUGGAACCAAUGGAUGCCAGAUCAUCACAAGAUGCGAACUGAGCGCAUGUAAUGCGCUCAAUUCACCAAGGACUGAAAUUCGACAAAGAAUGGAGCUCGAAGCGGUACCGCUCACAAACUGGACCGACUCAGCAAAGAUGAUACACCACCCGCAUAAACUCCAACUCAGUAAGCACAGGGACAUCCUAACGAACACCGUACGGCUCCUCAAAACAAGAGCAGUAAGUGGACUUCAAACUAAGAUACUGAAGGUGACACCGACGCGCACUGAUAUAAAGUACAGCGAGGCAGUAGAUGCAGCAGCAGUGCCGGCCGCACGGGCGACCACACCCUGAAUUGGCGUACGGGGCGACAUGGACGAGUCAAACGCAGUCUCGAUUACUGGUACGGACAGCUGUAGAACAAUAAACUCGCUAGGCGAUACGGGGUACCCCUGGUGGGCAAGAAAAGGGCCAUGUACGCACAGACCCAGCAGCCAGCAGCAGCACCUUGCCCGUUAAGCGGGGACCCUGACUCGGGGGGGACAUGUACUAGGAGGAUGCACCCAUCCCAACAUGACGGCGCUGUUUAUUAAAAGGCACAACUCAGCAGUCCGACUGGUUGUGAGGGAGCUGCCAACCGGAAGGUACGGAGGCUGCUAUAUGAUUAUGGACGCAGGGGCCCCGCGCAUCAGCCAUCCCCGACUAUUGUGCUGGUACACAUGCAUCCAUCCCGGAUGUUGGAUGGCCCCCCAACACGCCGGAGGCAGACCGGAGAGAAAAAAUGAGACCCGAUAUCCUCUUCAUACCCUGAGGCCUAUCCCUUGAGGAAACCAAGCCAGACAGGGUACGCUGGGCCAGGCGAGCAGUCCGAGUACACCGUGCACAUCGUUGAGAUAGAUAGGAUAGAUACCUCCGACACACAAGCCAUACAGCCAAACAGCGCGCCAAAGCACAGCAGCACGCAAAACUGGCGUAGGUCAUUAAUUUAGCAAAUAAAGUGAAUAAGCUGGCAUAAGUAAACCUUUUGCAUCUCUCUUCUUUUAUUUAAUCCAUGAGGUGCACUUUCUACAAAACUGGCAAAUGAACUGGAGGACACUGGCUGCCGUUGUGGAGGGCCCUGCACGUCGAGGCGCUGGAGCUCCGCUGCGAGACCCACGGCUGCAUCAGCCGCAGCCUCGUUGGCGAGGCCAAAGUUGCCGGUGUUUCCUACAGGUCAAACGGGUAGUGAGGUUGUGCCAGCGGAGAUCUACGUAGCAGGUUUUGGGUUUGGGUAGGGUUGGUAAUCAUGUCCAUGUGCCCUUGUGGUGCGACAUGUCAGGGUGGAAAAUUGUGGUGCGACCUACCGCGAGGGUCGAUGGGAUGGCACCAUCUUCACUGAAGUCUUCGAGCUCCAUUUUAGAUUAAAAACCUUUCCAGCUAGCUUUCUUACCUUGUCCAAUGUACUCGUUGACUUCUCCCAAACAAAGCGUUACGCUAGAUCCAGUUACUCUAUAUCUACCCACCUUAUACAGGCUGCGCCAUGCGUAAGUCUGUAUCAAGACAGGCUACUUUUGGGGAGUCACUCCGGAACCAACAGCUGCAGCUCCAGUUCUACAGCUCGGAGCUUGCUACCUUUCAUAGAGGCGCAGCUUUGUAUUCGGCAUUCAGUUGUCCGUUCAAUUAUGGUACCGCUUUCGGAUGCAUUGAACCUGGAACCCGCCGUACUCCUGCUUGACUUGUUACACGAGACUGUAUCCGCCCCGUGCUUGCAGGCUUUCCUCUGUACUCAUAUUUGUUUCCGUGGUGUUUUGUGAGUUAUCUGUUCCUGAUAGAGGUAUUGCAAGUAGACUACUGGCCGCCGGCCCAGUUUGAAGAAAGCGACAAAGAUGGCGACGAAAGUACAAAAGAUCAUGACCCAACCCAUCAACCUGAUGUUUCGCUUCUUACAGAGCAAACAAAAGGUGCAGAUUUGGCUCUACGACCAGGCGGACUUGCGAGUAGAGGGCCGCAUCAUUGGCUUCGACGAAUACAUGAACUUGGUGCUGGAUGAGGCAGAGGAGGUGUCCAUGAAGCGCAAGAACCGCAAGACGUUGGGGCGGAUCUUGUUGAAGGGCGACAACAUUACGCUUAUACAGACAACGGGACGAUAAGGGGCUAAGGCCUCAGAGGCAGCGGGUAUGACAUUAGGGCAACGACUUGACUUUAGACGACAGGAUGGGUUUCGGUGAUGGCGGUGACAUCUUGACCUCCUUUCAGUAUGGAUGCACCAUUGCCUUUGUGACGUUGACGACAAUAGAUGACUCGGUGCAGGUAUGUUGGCAUGUUACCUUGGAGCCCAGGUUAGCCAAGGGGCAAAGGUUCUCCGGAGUACGACAUUACUUUGCUGGGAGUUGCCUGGUGGCGCGUCCACCUAAAGGCUGGUCGGCGGUGUGGUCGAGAUUGGGGCAUGUCGGUAGAGUGGCUUGCAUUCCCAGCCGCGGCGUUGUCGCGCCAGCAUCAGGUGGUAGAGGACGGUAGGCGUAGGCGAUCAUGACCUACUCGACGCGUCCUCGUGUCCAUCAUGGCCUACUCCAUGCGAGCAACAUCAGGGUUACCCCAACAGCCGCGUAACACAAGUUACGGGACAUCGGGUGGGACUGUUGUGACGGGUGUGAACCGGCAGAGCUGCGGCGGAGUGUGCAUUAACAUUCAGGGCUUUCAGGUUCUUUCGGUCCGAGUUCCCGGCUGGCAGACAACGGGUUGGUUCAGACGUUUGAAAUGAAACGCGAUGUGGGUCAACGUUGCUUGCUUGGGACGAAGUUUGGCGGCUGUUUUCUUGUUUGUUAAUAAUUGUUUCCUGCGCGCUCAACCUGAAGCGUUCGGGGCGAGGAGGGGAUGAACUAAUAGAGGGUUUCAUGAUGAGAAGAAGGAAAGGAGGGCGUUUAGGGUUCGACGCGUCUGUGUUGGGAACACUCAGUGGAGCUUACACGCUGGUAAGAAAGCACUGACUGUUAGCCCUGGACGCGGCCUGGUUGUCUGCUUGGCCUUGGAAGUCUGAUGUUACGCGUUGCUUGCCGCGGCGUUCACAGCGUUUUAAAACCCUGGGUCUUGGAUGUGUUUUGGAUUUGGAUUCUUCCUGCACUCGGACUUGCUUGGCUUGUGGUUAUCUCUCGCAUCCGAUGACGACGCGCGUGUUGGGGACUUGUUGUCUCAAAGCUCAUGUAAUCCUCAAUUCCCCCCUUAAAUGGUCAUGCGCCCGUUAGGAAAACUUAUUUUUUGGUGGUGAUGCACCCUUGCAUUUUCAGAAGUCGAGCACAUGAUACCUUAGUGCCGCUAUGGUACCGUUCCUUUGGAAAUGUAGGCCCCAAAUCGUUAUCCGCGUAUGAGAGCGCGGGUGGCAUGAGUUCAACCUGCUCUUCUCUUGUUGGCUCUUGUGAUACACGCAUUGAUCAAUGCCCACCGAAACGCACGAAAAAGCCAAAGCGAACACACCACCAAGGAUGUCAAGGAAGUAGCCCGUACCUCCAGAGGCGCCUGACGAGAGCGCUCAUUCCAGGCCAGAAAUCUAAGUCGGGACCCUGCUGGGGAGAGGUCCUGUUGGGAUUAAUCCCAAGGUUAGGGAUACGCGCGAAAAUUUCAUUCUGCUUUCUUCGUGCGUCGUGCGUGGGAAUACUCUGCACAAAACAGGUAAGGCCUUUAAGAUGCACAGCGGCUCUACCUGUUGUCUGUGUAUGUGUGUGGUCGGGGGGCCGAGGAUAAACAAUUUUUUGCCAGACGCACACGAGUUGCAGUGAGUGGAUGGGCGCAAAUCCGAGCUCAAAGGCUGCUUUUUCUUGUGCUUCAAUGGACUAAAAAUGUUUAAGAUCCGCACCACCAUGUAAGCACAGAGAAGGUGAAAAGAAAAAGGAAAGAGUAGCAUGCGGCCAUAGCCAGUCCAAACAAAUGCCAUACUGCCGCGCCGCAGCGCUGCCAACACUUGCAAAGAGACACGGCCUGUUUUCGAUACAGGCACAUACACAUAGACACACAUACAUACACACCUGCAAGUACACACAAACCGAUAAGAGCUAUCACCCAUUUACACGUAGUAAACGUUUUGCUGUCUCGCCCCUUCCAUAACACAAUAUACGCGCACAUGAUGCAUCGACACACACACACACACACACACACGCACAGAUGGACGGGCGAUGUGAAGGAGAAUGAGAGGUAGAAUGCGUGUGCGCGCGCUGGGAAAGACACGGUCGCCCAGCCAAACAAAGCAUACGCCACCAACGUUCUCCGCUCUGAAAUCCGUAGUAAAACGCCAAGACUGGGCCCAAACUGCUAUACUCUCCACAACAGUAUGAAACUAUGAAUAGGUAUUGAGCCCCGUCAGAUAAUUAGUUAAUUAGUUAGUUACCAAGUUAGCGAGUAAGUUAGUUAAUCAAUUCGUUAGUUACUACGGGACCAAGCAGCUCCAUGGGAGAGACAUACAACGGGGGCCAUAAUACUCGGGCAAAGUCGAACACCAGCUGCAGUAGCAGCAGCAGCAGCAGCAGCAAAAGUUACGUUCCGUUUCGAGGGCGGGAGAUCCCCCGAAUGCGCGGGUGUGGAUAUGAUACAUAUCGAAAAACGCGCAGAAAGAGAGAACACCAUACACACUCGGCAGCUGCGACCCGUGGGUCUGUGGCGUCCAUUAUGACAAAAAGAGUGUACAAAACCCCACCAUUACAACCAUCCAUCAGUCAGGAGGCCUGCUCCGCCCUGACCAACCAAAACGUUCCAGAGAACAAAACCACAACCCCCGCCUUUUUAUUUACGCUUACCUAAUCUAAUUCAGUACAUUCUCUUAUCAUCUGGAGAUGGGAUGACAUUCUUCUCUCAAUACCGAAAGAGGGUGAUGUUGUCAGUUGCGUUCUUCCGUACCGUCGCCUUAAAGCAGCUCUCCCUAGCAAACCUCUUCCAACUCUCCCUCCUCCCCGUCAACCUGUUCACCUAGAGGACCCUUCCCCCGCCUUCACAUGCGUUUGCCAGAAGGUGUAGCGCAUACACAUACUUACGCACACACACACACACACACGCACACACAUCCGCCGCGUAAAAGUUGCUAUUUUCCACGUGCCAUCCUCCACCUCCCUUCCCCCCUCCUCCGUCCCCCCCUCCUCCUCCUCCAAGUUCCUGUCCAAGGACCGGAUUGCCAAAGCGCAUCACACGCAUCGGCAGGUUUCCCCUCUCAGGCAAGAUAUACAAACAAACAAACAAACGGGUUUGUUGGAGGAGACGACGGCGCCGAAACGAAACACGUCGGGAAAUUCUCUUACCGUCCGCCCCACCAACACGCCCCCCAUAUACACAGAGCAGACUGGGUCAUGACGCUGUGUGGGUUGUCCCGGUGUGGUGCUGCCCCGUCGGUGAACUGCCUCCCUAGCCCCGUCGGUGAACUGGUAGCUGCUAGCCUAGUCCGUGCCCGGCCCCCGGCCCCCGUCGCUUGCGCGCGAGAGGUGUUUAGCGCGAGUUUCUUGAACCCUGCCUGGUCCCCCGCAACGGAGAAUCGGUUGAAAGGCCGGGUGAGCUCUGUAUUAGGGCCUUGUGCCUUAGUAGGGAGGGGUAGCGUAUACAAGGGUUUCCUCUGUCUUAGUGAACCCUCAUCCCAAGAGCCCGAUCAGGCCGGGGAUGGAGAGGGGAGUCUUGUUUCGUGUUUGAGGCUCCGUGCGCGACAACUCGCGUGACGCCGCCUUGACUCGUGACAACGCGUGCGCGUGCGACGCCGCCUACCCCGGGGGGGGGAGGAGAACGGAGCUAGCCGACCUGCGGCUCUCGGCUAUGCUUAGGAGGGGACAGAGGCCCCUCUCCCGUCCGCGGGAGAGAGCUUAGGCGGUCUUUCCGUUGGGACUGGGCAGCAGCCCCUGGCCAGUGUCAGGCCCGGUCAGACAUGUGUGACCUUCACAUACACACACACGCACACACACAAACACAAUCGCACACAGACACACACGCACACAAACACAGCUGCCGCAUCAAUUAGGAGCCUCUACGGGUGUCAUUCAGAGUCGCCUCUACGGCUCGUCGCGAUAAGGCCCCGCCCCGUCUGGAGCGCUGAAGUGGGCGAAGGCGCCGAGCCCGGAAGCGCUAAAAGAGCAACGAGGGGCAGGAGAGAGGUGGGUGAGAGAGACCUCAGCGUUUGUGGCGCCCUAGUCCCCCCUCACCCCCUCACUUCCCACCUCUUUCCUGUUCCUUCCACAACACACGCCACACAAGGCCGGUGAUACAGUUCUUCCCUCGACCGAUAAGAGGUCGCCUUCGCCUUCGCCGCCCGCCGACCACUCUCCUGAAGUGGUGGCGGUUAGUACGACGGGGUUGGUGGCCGCGACUUUGUGGCCGCGACUAUGUAGACGAACAAACAACGAGAAAACGCACACAUACCUUGAAAACGACAAAAACGCGUUGGUGCCGUAAAAAGGUUUUUUUACACACAAAAUAUGCAAAAUCACACAUGCUACAUUUUACUUCGCACAGAUAGGUAGUUUGGUAGUUAGGUAGUUAGAUAGAUACACGCCACAGGAGUACACAUUCUUCACAUUCCACUAAACUCCCAUUCAACAACACAAAGCUCCUCUUUCAUGACAACUCUCAACCCACGACCUCCACCUCCCGCAACUCAUCACAGAUGAACAUUCGCUGCGGCGACGACAAAAAAAUCCCACGUCGAGGGUGUUGUGUAGUGGAUAUUGGGUGGUGGUUUCUUCCCGCAGUUGAUCAUGAUUUUCCCCCUUCCCUCAUCGCCUCCUCUAAUCAUCAUCAUCAUCAUCAUCCUCUGCGGGUUCCGGACAAAUGUCAAUGACUUUUCUAAAGCCACACAGUGUAACGGCGCUACGCAAAACGCUUAAAAAAACGCAAACUUGACGGCCCCGACAGACUGAUAGACAGACAACAAUUCAAAAACGUCCGUUCCAUAAAUCGUCCUCGUCAGUUCCUGACCGCGAUGACGCCGACUCGAUCCAUUUAAACAGCAAAUGUCUUUUCCCCCCCGCGAAAAGAGGGAAAAAAACACCCUACCCACAAUUUUUCCCCGAUGACAAUUUUGACUUGGCGCUGUUAUCGUUUCGUGAUAUUCUUGCAACAACCGUGUUAUGCUGUCUGUCUGUCUGUCUGUCUGUCUGUCUGUCUAUCUGUCUGUCUGUGUGCAUGCAUGUUGUGUAUUUCUGGGAUGGUAAAACGGUACCAAACUUCUCGAAAACGAGAAGGAGGUGUGUCUGGUAAGCACAUCUGUACGUAUCUAUGUAUGUAUCUAUGUAUGUAGGUGCGUCGCGGUACGGGCUAAGUCCUCUAUCACCCCAGCAAAGGGAGCUGAGACCAAGGCAGUAAAUAAAGCAGUAUGUACGGGAAUAUGUACGGCAGUCAGGGGAAAAUGGGAGGAAUCCCCGAGGAGAAACGCCGCCUGCACUGCGCGUGGGUAUGUGAAUGCCUUGUGUGUGUGCGUGUAUGCAUGUAUGUAUUUGUAUGUGUGUAUUGCGUGCAUGUGCGUGUGCGUGUGCGUGUGCGUGUGGUUGCUCCACCACAUGUCGCUGGCACACGUCCGAAACAAUCGCACCGGCGCCUCCCCCUCUUUCCCCCCUCCUCCCCAUCUCUCCCCCUCUCACGCACAUACAUACAUACACACAGCCACAGCCGCAGUUUCCAUACCCACAAAAGCCAAUGAACCCACCAGCCGCCCACUCUAACCCCGCAACCCCAGCAAACCUCACGUCCGUACCGGUCUCCACUCCGAGCACUUCAUUCGUCGCCAGAAGAUAUCAUCAAAACCCUAAGAAAAACGAACACGUCUCUCCUUCAUCAACAACUCAACACGGCGCAUUCAAUCCAAAUAAGACUGGGACCAUAACAACAUUGAGUCGUUGCCGUCUCAUCAAAUCAUCAAGGCGGCGGCAGGCCAGCUGGUAAAUAGCUAUUUAGCUAUUUCAAGGGCAGAAUAGCAAACGUCCCAUGAAGGCGGCAAUGUGCCAGCUCCGCCAUGCCCAUGCCCAUGUCCUCACGACGAGUACCUCCAAGUACCUCCAAAGCUCACAUCUAGAGAUGACGGCAUUUGAAAUACGGCUCAUGAAUAUUGGCGAUGGUGACUCGCUGGCUUGCUGACGGUGUGCCCGAAACUCCUCCCCCCCCCCGCCCUUCCUUUCCCAGCUAACUGUGACUGUGACAAGAAAAAGAAGAAGAAGAAGAAGUGAAAAGUGAGACACGCGCACAUGCGACACCAAAAACCAUCCUACCCACCCAUCCCAACCCCCGCAAACCCCCGCAAACGCCCACACACGGUCGAGGCCCGGCCCCCAGGGGGCCCCCCCAGCCAGCCAGCCAGCCAGCCAGCCAGCCAGCCAGCCAACAAGCAGAAGCCAAGUUAGGCAACACCUAACCUGGCGUGCUAAAUUAGGCAACCCGCCUGCGCAACACAGAGCUCCAUACCAUACACAUACCGGAUAUGUAUUUACAUAAAAUACAUUAAUUUAUUACAUCAUUCCGGUUAUGGAAUCGAGGGCCUUACGUGCGAGGUUUACGCAGCCCAUCAGAUCCCAGAGACCGCCCUCGUAGCCGAGUGCGCCGAUCCUGGCCGCCGCCACCACCGCCGCCGGCUCGAUUCCAGGGGCGGACACAGCCAGGUUGAAGGCACGUGAUUCGUUGGCGGCUCGGCGCCAGGCGUCAGCGGCCGCAGCACAUGUCUACAAAUGAUGAGCAAAGAGCGAGGCCCGCGUGUGAUGUGAUGUGAUGUGAUUUGAUUUGAAGUAAUGCGGAAAGAAAGGUAAUUUGGUUUUUUUACACCCCUCUUCAACAUAGGUUAUUAAAUCCUGCUGUUUGAUUUUUAUAAUUAUUCCCGUUUGGCGCCCUUUUAAAACAACACCGAUUUCGGUCGCUGGUCACCAGUAACUGCACCUCUCGCCAAAUUAAAUCAAAUCAAACCAAACCAAAUUGAAAAUGUAAUGUGUGCGUGUGUGUGUGCGUGUGUGUCUCUAAAUUGGCUGCAUGCACUGUUACCCUUGUUGCUGCUGUUACUCUUGUUAGCUGCUGUUGCUGUUCCUGAUGGUGACCAGCCCAAAGGACGUACCUGUAAGCUCUCCGCCAUCUGCUGGAUGCUGGCAGUGUAGGUCGAGGCCGUAAGAGCCGCAGCCUCCAGCGUCGACGACGCGCUGUCGGCGGCCGCCGUCGGCGAUGUACGGCGUCCACCGCCAUCAUCACCACCGCCGCCGCCGCCGGGCAUCACUGGCCCCGUUCCUGGCUCAUGGAGCUUCAAGGCAUUGGCCAACGUGUCCUGGUUGACGACCAACCAUCUUGUACGGCAGAUGGCGGUUAGCUUGAGCGCCAGCAACCGUAUCGCCUCCAGUACGAGCAGCUCUGCUGACGGCGCCGGGCCGCUACCGCUGGCGUGAGCGACAGCUGCCGCCAGCGGAUUCAUCGGCGUGCCUCCGCCACCGCCACCUCCGCCGCCGCCAUGCUGAGGUGUACGAUUCCCGCCGCCGCCGCCGCCGGCCGCUGCCCCCGGUCCUGACGGCGUCUGCAUGCCCAGCGACCUCGCUGAGUUCGUUGGGCUGCCAGGCGCGCCUUUAGCCGGCGGCGGCGUCGCUGGCGUUGCGCUGGCGGCCGCCCUUCCCGACGGCGCCGCCGCCGCCGUCGCCGCCGCUGGCUGCGCAGCCGCCGGUCGCGGCAGCUGCUGCGCCAGACGGUUCGCUUCAUGGCUCACGACUGCCAGCAUUUGUGCGGCUGCUGAGAGGAGCUCUAGGGAGGCCCUCAUGCCCGCCUCCCUCUCCUGACCCGCCUGCUCAUGGCCGUACGCGCUUUCCAUGCUCUUCAGCGCACUCUUGCGUGGUGAGAGGUUGGGGAGGGAGGAAGUGGAAGGCAUAUUGUAUGACACAACAAACAACAAACAACACAUGUAUAAUUUUAUUUAGGUGGUAUUAUAUAGAAUAUAACAUAUAUUGAUAUUAAUGUAAUAUUAAUAUUAAUAUAGUAUUAAUAAUAUGGUCUGGUCUGGGUUGACACUACUGCAAUUAGCGGUUUAAGGUCCUGGGUUCGAUUCCUGGGGAGACCCCCGAAUUAGUCGGGAGCGCGAGAUUAUGGCUAGCUGCUGAGAUGUGGAGUUGAGGUCACAGUUGAUGGACCAGAUUCGCACGCUAGAUUGGUGGCGAUUGCCGAACCCUCCGUCUCUUCGGGUGUUCGGGUGAAUGGAAGAGGAGGGGUCCCUGAAGGCUGGAUCCGCCGCCUUGGACUUACAGUUCGUAUGGCGAAGUACAGUGUGGUAGUGGUGGAUGGUGCUAUAAGGUGAUAAAUGAUCUAGAACUGACAAUGUGAUAAAGCGGCCCAGAAGCCUCCCACUCUGUAACAUUACAUUACAAUAAUAUAUACCAUAUGAUAUAUAUUAUUAAUAUUUUAUUAUAUCAUAUAUCAUAUAAUAUGAUAUAUUUUAUCAUGCAUACACGGUAUGGUAGGGCCGGGGCAUGCCCCAAUGACCGGCCAACCACCAAUCAUCAAGUACUGUAUUCACCAACCGCCAACCACCAACCUGCAAGUACAGCGUCAGCUGUAGUGUAGUCCAACGGUUACCGUUGGCCUCUCGGUUGCUGUCAGCUCGUCGACGCAGUGUACGGCUUUCUUCCGCCAGUGUUUUUAUGUGGGCCUUAUUGAAUAGCGACCGCGGGGACUCCACCAUGUAGACGCAAGAGAACUGGAGAUGAAGAGGCGUGGCGUGGCGUGACGGGGAGGGGCGGCGUGGUGUGUUUCGUUGUGUUGUGUGUGUUUGUGUGUGUGUGUGUGUGUUUGUGUGUUUGUGUGUUGUGUGUUUGUGUGUGUGUUGCAUCCGCUUCUUGUAAAAAACAAUCAGCGGUUCCGCCUUAACCAACCAAAAGAGGUUCCAAUACGAAAAGGGCUACAGAAGAAAGCAGCGACAGAGGUGCAAACGAACAUGCGAGGUAAAGGAAAGGAGAAAGACCACCGUGUUGUGUUGUGUUGUGGUAUGCUUCGUGUUUCAUAACGUGGCAUGACUCCUAUGGGAUGUCAUGCAUGACGUGGCAUGACGUAGCAUGACGUGGCAUGACGUAGUUCUCGGGCUAGGCACUCACUGCCCUGCCAGCCACCCACUUCUCCCCUCGGCGGGCUGCAAAUGCUCCACCUCCCUCGGCCCCCCUAUAACGCACACGUUACCCCCCUCUUAAGCUUAACAUACAUUACAGAGAGAGAGACAGAGAGGACGGGAGGGAGGGAGGGAGGGAGCGAGCUGUCGGUUUGCACCUCUAUGAGAUGGUCCUGCACCCCCAAACCCUCAACCCAAUCUUUCUUCGUAAACAAAACAAAUUUACAAGACGAUUAGCAGCCCAUCAUUAACCGUUGUAACGCAACGCAAACCCCCCCUCAGUCGCCGUCCAUGUCUCUACGGACAUCCAAGGACAUGUAACACGGCGCGCACAUGCAACACGCCGUACACCUGACUUUGUCACUAGUCUCAAAGACACCCAGUGAGAGCGAUCUUUUAGGCCCCAACAUAAUAAGAAUAACGUAACAAUAAGGAUAAAAGACAAUAAAGGAACGGUGGCGCCAGGAAAGGGCAAACCGGAGGGCAUUACCUCCUCCUCCUCCUCAUGCUCUUUCUUGACAGUUAAGUUAGUUACCUAAGAUUGCGUCACUUGCCUGAAUCAUGGACAGCGCCAAGAAGCCCAAAAGGUCUGGUUCCAUACACGCCGACAGCGGCGCGUCGCCGCCGACGCGUGCCGUACCCGGCGGAUCCAGCGUCGCAUCAGCAUCGUACAGUAUGGAAGCUGAAGCCCCCUGCCCGCUGCUCGUUGCCGCGCCGCUGGCACCGCAGGCGACGCCGUCCCGUCCUUGAGACCUAGUGGAUUUGGCAGCGGCGGCGGCGGCGGCGGUGGUGGUGGCCGCGGCGCCGCCGCCGACACACCCGCUACUGCCAGCAGGGCCUGCGCCGUCACCGGCUGUGGCGUGCUGUAGCGGCUUGCCUCGGUCCUGUUGCAACUUCGCUAGGGCCCGUUCCGCCUUGCCUUGCAGAGCACCCUGCUGCUGGUGGUGGGAGUGCUGCUUCGGCAGGUUUUGGAGCUGGUGUACGACAGUCGGUGAUGCCUGGGAGCCAGGCGGCCGACGACCGCCACCGAGCUGCCGCCCGCCGCCAGGCGCUGCUGCUGCCGCCGCCGCCACCCCGCCCCGCGAGCCGCCUCCCGGGGAUGUGGCCCGGCUCGGCUGCGCGCUGCCGGGUGGCGCCGGCACUGCCGCCGGCGACGCUGCGGUGCCACUGCCUCCGCCUCCGCUGCCUCCGCCACCUGUCCGAGCGGGGCUUAGGGCACCCAUGGACAUCGGGCUGUGAGUGCUGCUGUCAACGGGAGUCGAGGUCGCCGCCGCCGCGGCGGCAGCGGCGGCGGCGGCUGCCGCCGCCGCCGCUGACCGAGCGUGGUGUCGCUGGCCAAACCCGAUGCCACCGCCCGCGCCGCGGCGCCCCGGCGCAGCAGCGCCCAGUGCGGACGUUGACGCAGCGGGCAGCUGAGCACGCAUCGGUCCUGGAGCUUCCGCCGCCGCCAGCGUCGUCGCCGUCGUCGCCGUCGCCUCCGCCACCGCUGGCGCCGCCGCUCCGGCAGCGGCCACGGCCACCGCCGGCCUAUGCUGUCCGGCCUUCGCUGACCCCUCGUUGUCGGAAUCAUCCAGAUCCAUGUCGGAUCCAGAACCUCCCCUGGAGGCGCUUCCCUCGCGUCCGCACGUCGCGCCGCCGCCGCCGCCGCCGCCAGCUUCACGAUGCGGUCGUUUGUAGGGAUACACGCUGCCGGCAGAUUCCGACUCCAGGUGCGCCUCCGCUGCAUUGCGUCGUAUGGCGCUGCCGCUGCCGCCAUUAGCGGCGGCGACGCUGCCGGAGCCAGCGGCAACGCCGCGCCGGUGCUGUUGCUGCUGUUGUUGUUGCUGUAGCAAUUGCGUUGCUGGCGGAAGCUGUAGCGGCUCGGCGGUCAGCCGAGUAGCAGCGGAGACUGAGGCACCAGAGGUGCCGCGAUCACCGCGACCAACCCCAGCCGCAUCGCGUUGCGCGCGAUCUGAUGUACGACCGCCACUACGGUCGUGGCACCGGCUGUCGUACCGACAUCCGUUGCCAUCGUACCGACUCUCGGCGCCGCCGCGCCGGUCGGUAGCAGUAGCACCGCGGGUUCUGUCCCUUUCCCGCUCUCGUUCCCUGCUACUGCGGUCCUUCUCACGCUCCCGCUCGCCUCGUUCCGUACGGCCGCCGUACCGAUCUCGUUCCCGAUCCCUGUCCCGGACGCGAUCAUAAUGGCCACCCUCCCUGCCGCCGCGGUUUCGCUUGUCGCGCCAGUCCGCCCGGACAGGCGAGCGGCUCCUGCUACGGCUACGGCUACCGCGCCGCCGCGGCGAACGGCUGUAGCGUCGUCUCUCCCGCGACCGAGAUCUGGAUCUUGACCGAGAUGAUCUCGCCAAAACACCCUGCUGCUGCAAACCGCCGCCGCCGCCGCCGCCGCCGCGCCGUAACCCCGUUCCCCGUUCCUCCACUGCUGGCCCUCCUGACGAAGCCUCAACGGCCGUCGCCGUCGCCGUCGCCGUCGCCGCCGCCGUCGACCGCUCCCUGCUGCCUCGCAUGUCCCGCUCCCGUUCCCUCCCUCGAUCGGCCGCUGAUUCGCGCUGCUCGGAACGCGAAGGGGACCUGGAGCGUCGUUUGUGGCCCAAGCCCCGCCCCGAAGCACUAGGCAGGUGAUGAUGGUACGGAUCACCGCCGGCAAAGCUCAUGACCUGGAUAUCCGGUACGACAUCCUGUAAUGACCCGUGGGUCGACAAGUGCGCUACCAGACCCUUUGCCCGCGACAAAUCCACCACAUGACCCAUCUGCGCCGCGUCUGCGGCGGUAGUGGUGUCGCUCGGCACUGUCGCCGCUGCCGCCGCCGCAAGCGGCGGCGGCGGCGGCGGCGGCGGCAGCGGCACGGCGUUAAUCGGCGUGCCCCAACGGCGGCGGCGGCCGCCAUUGCUACCGCCGCCGCCAUCUUCCCCGACUUGCCCUGGCAGGCCUUCUGAAGCCGGGCCACGGCUGCCCGCCACGUCAGCUGCUCCCGUGUCCAAAUCCGCAUCUUGACCGUCAGCGUCGGCGGCCGCCGCCGAUGCUGCUGCUGCUGCUACUGCUACCGCUGCCUCUCCCGCUGCCGCCACCUCCGCGGGCAGCGGUAGCACCACUUCACUCAGCGUCAGUGGCAGCUCGCCUGACUCCACAUGCACCAUAUUCACCUACUGGUCGCGCCGCCGCCAGCGCCGCCGCCAGCGCCGCCGCGGCCCUGCAUCAGCAGCAAUGACCCAAGGGACGAGGACCGCCCGGCGAGCUGCAGCCCCGGCGCCGCCGCCGCGGCGCCGGCAGCAGCGGCAACGGCGGCGGCUGUCAGGGCCCCCAGGCUCCCGCGAGGUUGCAUGACGGAGGACGGAGUUCCGCCCACCGGGGUAUCCGCGCUGGGCAGCUCUCCGGACUCGAGUGUCUGUGCCAUCACACAACGGAAGUCGUCGGGACGGACAACGGAUAAGCAGACGCAGCCCACCGGGCACGUCAUGCCGUGUGGAGAAAUCCGCCAAAAAAAAGUGGGGGCGAAGCAAGGGUAUAUGAUGUCGAGAUGAGGAGUGAGAUGACGAUGAGCGAGAUGAUGACGGUAUUUUAAGAAAAUAGAUAAAAAAAAUAGAGAGAAUUUCAGGGCGUUGGGGACAGUUGAGAGACGGCGAUAUCCCCUAGUCGAGGAUGAAUGAGGACGUCCCCAAACGAUUGGCGCCGGAGAGAGAGAGCGAGAGGGGGGGUUUCACCAGAGACGUCCACCGAAGAGCGAGAAAGGCCUUAGGCGCUGUAUAACGUCCCUUCUCGCAGCUGCGGCGGAGUUACACCCGUUUGGAUUUAUAUUACCAAAGCCACCCAAAGCCAUCCCCAACAUAACCUUCAAGAACCCACAUGCAGACGCCUGCAUCAACGACACUGCGCUUUCUUUCUUCUUUCCGCCGCGCGACAGGGCGACAGGGCAGCACAACGGCAAUGAAUGUGGUGGUGCCUGGGUCUAAAGCUACUAGGACCACAUCCCCACACGUGCAGAUGGUCAGUUCCAUUCCGGGUUCCCCCCCUUUCCAGUUCUACGUCUGGUACACUCUUGCCCUGGCAGCAGCUUCACUCGUCCGUGGUUCGUCUUUUUCCCCGCAUCCGGGUUUAAAGUAGUCCACACCUGCAGUGAAAUAUUGGACGUGCGCUGGCCCACCGAAAGAGCCAUAGGCGUCCUCCCGGACGCGGCCACCGACGGCAUCGGCGCCCAUUCCACGUGUUGUUGCUGCUGCUGCUGCUGCUGCUGUUGCCGUCGCUGCAUCACAUGCGGAUGACCGGCCGCCGCCUCUUCCUCUACCACGGCCGCCGCCUCCGCAUCUAGAGCGGCCGCCGCGGCCCCGUCUGCCGCUGCCUCCUUUACAGCCUCCGCUGCCUCCUCUACCGCCGCUGCCUCCGCCGCCGCUGCCUCCUCUACCGCGGCUGCCUCCGCCGCCGCUGCCUCCGCCGCCGCUGCCUCCGCCGCCGCCGUCGUGAAUGCCUGGGGAUAGCUUGGCGACAUUGCCGACAGUGCCACGUCAGCCUGCCCUACAAGCCGGUCUGCGCCUCCGCCAGCUUUCGUCGCAGCGUCCUCUAAACCCUCAUCCAGCGCUGAACCACAAAUUCCCAAAUCCCUCGCCAGCGCGCCAAUUCCCCCACACCCUUCUCCACAGACAGGACCCGCUACUCCUGCUACUGCUGCUGCUCCGUCCGUUGCUGCUGCUGCUGCUGCGGCGGCGGCGGCGGCCACAGCAUCCGCCAUUGCAUCCACUGCUAAGGUCUCCCCAUCAUCCGACGCACCCGCGCCUGGUCGUCGGAUGGUCGUCGUCGUCGUCGUUUGUCCUGCAGCAGCAGUCGCCGGGCGCAGCAACGUUCCUGCCAUGGCUUCAGACGCGGCGGUACCUGCGGCUCCGCCUGCGUCGCCGUCUCCACCUCUCGUUCCAGCGCCGUCGUCGGCACCAGAGUCCACCCAACCAUCCAUUAGCUCUACCAACAUUGCAUCCACCGCGUCAUCCGCAGCGUGGCCGUGUUCCCCGCCGCUGGCCGCACAUUCCACGGCGACCACGGCGACGGCAGCCGCAGUGGCGGCAGCGGCGGCCGCGAUCACUCCAUCGCCGGCGCCGCCAUCCACGUCCACUCCUCCGCUAGCACCCGUGCCCGCGCACCUCGCACGCACUGGCAGGCUGAUAUCCAGCGCCGGACUAAGGGCUAAGUGCUUCAGGGUUUCGGAGCUAGCGCGCGCCUGCGGAUGGGUGACACGGAAGACCCGUGGGUCAGUGAGAUCCUGCGUGGCGGGCAUCCCGUUCGUGUCCCCGUCCAGCAUGUGCCUGCGAGCAAUACUACCAGCCUCCAGGAGGACUCUGCAAAAAGGCCAUCUCUGCCCCCAGCAACCAUCCCUGCAGUAACAGCACCCACAUCCGCCCCCGCGCCCACACCUACGCGCGCAUUCGCUGCCAAUACACAUGCAAUGGUACAGCCCUGAUCCCGACUUCCCAAAGGUUAGACAAGACCUCCCUUUCAUUCCUUUUGGUAAAAAUCGCGGCUGCCCUACAUUUGAAGGACGCCGGUGCUGGUGCUCCACCCCAGCUGCGUCGUUUGGGGCAGCAGCAGCCGCCCCUGCAGCAGCAACAGCCGGUUCGUCCGCCGCAGGCGCGGCGAUGUCGGUGGCGGCGGCAGCGGCGUCGCCAUCCCCAUAGUCUGCCGACGCGGCGAGCCCGUCAGCGGCGUCUCGCGACCCACGGGUCACAAGCACUCCUGCUGCGUCGCCGCUCCGUGCCAGGGCCCCUUGCACCGCCUCGCCUACGUCCAUUUCGUCUGCCCUCGCCAUUGUCCCCUCAGGCCGCCUUCGCCGCAGCUCCGUCGCGCCUUCUGGCCGCCCCGUCGUCGCCGCCGUACCGUCUGCUCUCCCCGCCAUUGCUACCGCCUCUGCCACUAAUGCAGCGCCGCCGCCGCCGCUGGUGUUCUGCAUCGUGUCACCCGUCAACCCUUGCAUUACCACCUGCCGCGAACAACCAGCUACUGCUACUCCUGUUGCUGCUACUGCCGCACCAUCACCAUCGCCAUCCGCGUCUGUCUCCACGUCCAACGGGCUCGUCCCGCCAGGCGACACGUCAUGAACGCCCGGUGGCCCGUGGGUCAGUGGAGCAAGGCCAGGCUGCUUCUUGACCGAACCCGUUUGGCGCCGCUCUUGCUGUUGCUGCUGUGGGUAACGCUGCUGGUAUUGCUGGUGAUGUUGUUUGUUAUCGGGUGAGUGCGUCGUUCGGGAGUCUGUAGGCGAGGGCCCUCCGCUUUCCGGGUCUGUCGCGGCCCCACGAGGGGCGGCGGCUGCCAUGGUGGGUCGAGCCCUAGGGUUGGGCCGCGGAAUGUUGAACCCCCGCGGGCCCUUGCGCUGCUGGCCAGCUUCCUGUUGUUGUUGCUGGUGGUGCUGCUGCUGCAAAGGUUGCGACUGUUGCUGCUGCUGCGCCGCGUGCGCGUGCGCAAGGGCAGCAGCAGCAUUGCGAAGCCGGCCGACACCGCCGUUGGCCUUCUUGUGCUGCAAAUGCGGUUGCGGCGGCCGUGCUGCUGCUGCGGCAGCAGAAGCACCGUUGGGCGAUGCAGCUGUCUCCAUAUCCGGCUGCUGGUGCUGGUGCUGCUGUUCCUGGUCCGGCUGCUGUGGCGCCGGUAAGGACUGCUGAUCACCUGUGGGUGAAGCUGGGAGCGAGGCGGAUAUGGGUCAUCAGGCCGUGCCAAAGAGAUUUCCAGACCACGUUUAUGUUGUGUUGCGUGCCGAAAGAAGCAUCAAUUGAAAAAACGCAUAAGAAAGAGUGGGGUCGCAGGGAUGAUGAUGCCAUCGCGCUACGCGGCCAGCCAAACCAAAGACUGCUAAGUGAUUUGCGGCCCUUGCGGUCGAGGUGAAAACGGGCGCCCAGGCACUGUACAUGGGUGCUAUGGUAUCAUGCAGCGCUGCGGGUUGGUGGUAUAAUGCAGGCUUGGGAGAAGUAAAAUUCCAAUCGCCGAGUCCCCAUUACCUAGGGCCCCACGGCCGUUCUCCACGUGUUCAUGGAGCCCCGUAUUUGAAUAUGCCAGAGAAGGAGGCGUUUUGCCGUGCACCAAGGUUUGGCUUUGUGCCAUGUGUGGUUGAUAACAAGGCAGAUGGGCCAGAUAACCCGCUGAGGUCAAACUCACGAACGAAGUCGUUAGUUCGUUGAUUUGUUAGUUGACGAGUGCGAGGCCCGGGCUGGAUGUGCGCGGCCAAGCCUCGCCCAUGUAAGGUAAGGAUAAAGGGGUAUCCAAGGGUGGGCGUUGGGGAGAGGAGGCUAACCAGCAACGUGUCCCCGCGGCUUCGGCUGUUCUCCGCCGGGGGCGGCUACACAUCACCUAUCGCUUACCAUCGCCAGUGGGUGGAGAAGAGACGCCAGGCUCCGCAGUGCUGGGACCUGCGUCGCUGUUGUCCACACGCCGGUUGCUGGUCGCGUCAUAGAACGUGCCAUAGAAACUGCCAUAAGGAUUGAGCUUUGCCUGAUAGGCGACUUUCGGCCACCUCAAAUACGGCGCUAGUCUUUGAACGCGGGCGAUCUGCGGGUGAUUCAUAUGCUUCUCUACUCAGUCGGGUGCUGGAGAGGUUAACAGCCGCACAAAGGUUGUCCCGCUGCAUGAGCUUCAACACCCCAAGAAUAACCCAAUAAGGCACGCUGUACGUCGUCAGUCUUUCAUAGCGGUACACAGGUGUAUCAACAGCAGUUUGAUUGUUCAAUAGGAACUUCACAAAACGCAAAAAAAUUCAACUCACGGUUUGCUGGAGGAGCUCCUCUAUGUCUUGACCGUUCGACCGUGACAUUCCGUCAAUCAAGAUCGUGCACACCUAGUGGAGUGUGCAGCCUUAGGCUCCGACCGGCAACACAAGGCCACCCUCCGACCUGGGCCCCAGGCUCAUAACGCCGUGCGGCCCUGCUAGGGAAUAACAAAUUACUCUACAUCAUAUAAUUACAAACGUUAUUAUAUUGCCCAGCGGUAUCGGGAACAAGGUAACACUAAAGAUUUCCAUACGAAUAUUUCCCUCAAGCAAAUCCUCGCGGGCAAAUGGAGGAUUUUGGUGUUAACAGUGUACCUGUGCUAGGGUUAUGCAAUAGUUGCCGCAGUGAUGCCUUACCGGAGAGCUCCCUUGGAUGUUCCGUACGCAGGUCUCUCCUAACGAAACGCCAUGGAAGCUUUACGGUGUAACAUACAACGAGUGUUCUCACGUGAUACUUGCGCAUUUUUGCUUCUUUAUUGUUUGUCACAGCUUGCUUUUCACUGUCCUGUUCUGACCUGUCCUGGUCGCAUUGCAUGUACACAAGGUACCCGCUUGAGGCAAUACUAAUUGUUUACGGACAAAAACAACGUCAAACCUGUAAUGCGUAGUAUGUAACUUUGCUGUUAUGCCUGCCAAGGACGAGGAGGAGCUUGAGCUGCGUCAAACCCACGAGGCCCUGAGCAUCAUACUUUCAGAUGACAGUGCCUUUGAGGCUGUUUUGAACACCGUUUUCGAGGACAUCGACUUCAAACUUGAUGGGUCUGUAGACAAUUACGAGUUGGAGCGCUACAUCGGGAACGCGUGUGCAGGAAUGGGCUUGGCGCCACCUGAAACUGGUCAGAUACAUGGGAUAUUCCUUCACCUGGUGGGUCCAGCGCACGUGUGCCUCGCGAGCGCCGUUGUACCCGCACAUUCCUAUCUCAACCCCUUUGCCAACCGUCAUCUAUGAACCGUAAUAUGCCAGCAGCCCACACACCCAGCAGUAAGGGACCACUCUUCCCAAGCUUGUACGUCAUUCCUCUGGCCCUAUUUCGCUAUUUACACAACAACAACUGGCUGGCAGAAGUACCAAAGCCGUGCUCCGUACGAGUUAAAAUGCCAUGUCGUUGACCGACGCGACGCGACCGUGACUGGGUAUCACCAACACCAUCCAGUGCAUCUUCCUUACGGCCCACUCUCAAACCCUAAGCCUUCAAGGACACAUCAUUCGCAUUGCACAUCGCGAACACGCUCCUAACAUAGACGAGUCGAUUCUAACACAGAAACAAAGCACGCUCUGUGCACUCUAACGUGCGGGGCUCACAUGUCUAGACCCAUUUGAGGGCCACCAGACGGACCGGACCAAGCGACACUACCAACGUCCGCCGGUUCAGGCCGGUUAACUCUACACACGACCUUGUAUAACUAUGAAUAACUACUAAUAACUAUUUGUAACUAUUUAUAACUAACUACAACUAAUUGUGACUAUUUACAACUAACUUUAACUAUUUUUCGAAGCUGUCCAGUGAACGCCCGCACCGUCUCCUUGUACGCCCCCUGGCGCGCUUUCCUUGACGCCCGUCAUGCGCCAUUUUCCCCAACUCCCUUUUCCAGGACCUCAACAACGACAAGGCUAUCAGCCGCGAGGAGUUAGCUGUCUUUUUGCGGCACUUCUUUCAGCAGCAGGUCAAAUUCUGCGCCCUGAAGCUGCACCUGCCUAGAGCCCCUUAAGAAGCGCAAGUGACUUUUACCGCGCGGGGGGGAAUGAGAGGCUGAUGGAAAGGGACAAGUGCUGAUUCAGAUCACAGACCCGUGGGUCGCUUCAAACGAUUCUCUGUUUUCGUAUCCUGGGAAGGGAGGGGCAGGAGGAGGGGCACUGCCAGGAGGUGGGGAGUGAGGCAGGGGCAACAGGACAAGCUCUCCAGAAAUGAAGGGACAUAAAAACCUCUCCACUUACAGUCAUCAGCAAAAACCCAAACCCAGCAGCCGCGGAACUGCAGCGUGCAUAAACCCCCAAAUCCCAAUCGCCCUGUGUCGACGUCGAUGUCGGAGUCAACGCCCCAAGUGUGGGGCCCUCCGGGUUUUCCCUGGUGGGCUGGAGGGAGAGCUACAUACAGCCUUAGCCGUAGCAGUAGCCGUGGCUGUAGCAGCAACCAGUAGCCGCACAUUGCGGUUUGUGUCCUCAGAUUAGGCUCUCAACGAGCACAGCACUCCUCUGCUGGUGUGCCUGUUAUUAACGGCUGUGCAUUGGAGGACACAUGUAAGGAACGACGAGGAGAAUGUUUUUCCAGCUUAAAUCUUUUUUUGGAUCCACUGUAAAAGGAAAGUCUCUUCAACCAGAAUCUCCAAGAGACCCGGGCUGCUAGGCUGCGCACUCGGGACGCUACGCGCUGGGAAAGGAGGGGGAGCCCGAAGUCCCCUAUAGCGUGUGGCUUAAGGGAGGCCCCGCCCCCGGUGUUUUGGAUACUCCAUACGCCAUCAGAGACGACUGUGGUGGGUUUUUUAAUAAAUUUCUGGCUCUUGAAAGUCGCCAGUAGUGGACUGGACCCCAGUACGGUGAUUUGACAAUCAUUACAUUGUGCUGAUGUGGUGACGAUGCUGUGGUUGAUGAUGACCGCGGCGGUCUUUGAUGAGCUUCGGAGGUGUUUGUGAAGGAAGGAGGUGUAGAUUGGCCGUUAGAUUGUCGAGGCAGCCACAUCCAUGUGAGGCAUGGCGACGUGACGUCGUAUGACGUGAUGUUGUGUAGUGAAGACAUAUCACGUGACACCAUUCCAUAUUCAUGUCAUAUCAUAUCAUAUGGCAUGUCAUGAUUAUGCAUAUCAUAUCGUCUGAAAGGGGGUCAUAAACUUCCUUUUGUGUCGAAUCAUUCUGAUGUGUUCUGACAGAAUGUCAGCCACACGACGGGACGUGAGGGAUGCCAAGGAAGCUGCUGCGACAUGUAGACAUACAAAAACACCCCCGGGGGGAGGAGAACGGAGCUAGUCGACCUGCGGCUCUCGGCUAUGCUUAGGAGGGGACAGAGGCCCCUCACGCCCCUCUCCCGUCCGCGGGAGAGAGCUUAGGCGGUCUUUCCGUUGGGACUGGGCAGCAGCCCCUGGCCAGUGUCAGGCCCUGUCAGAUAUGUGUGACCUUCACACAAGAGUACACGCGCACCCACACAAGCACACACAAGCACAUAAACAUGCUGUACGCACGCAAGCUUGAUGACCUAGAUAGGCGACAUGUGAAACAAAACCAGGCACAUCACAACCCAAGGCCGCGACCCAAAUGUUGUCGUACAUACCGUUAAGUAUCGCAAUAGUUGGAUGGUUGAAGUGAAAAGCGGGUUAACCGUUAGCAUUGACAGUCCAGCAACGCGUUUGUUACUUAGCCUUGCUAACUAGGAUUCAGGGCUACUCAAAUGGCAGGGGGACAAGCACGAUACGCGCGUGCAUGGCAAUUGCGGGAGUGCGGGGAGUGGGCCGGGUUGCAGCUGUAGCGGCGCCAGCGGUAGCAGCAGCUUGGAACAGCAGCGGCUGAGCGACGCGUGGCGUUUGCCUCAGCCUCCUUGGGUAUGCGGGCCAAGAAAAAUGUGAUAACUCUUCUGCAACAAAAAAUACAGCACUGAAACUGAUGGGAAAAAAAGCCUUGCGGGGACCCGGACCGGAGUCCAUCUUCAGCUCAUUCUCCGGAGCAUGACCGCAACCUGGUAGGGCACAGUUCAGUCUGCGACACGGUGCUGGUAGUGACAGUGGACAAAAAACGAGUUUAGUUUACAGCGCCGCUUGUUCCAUCUCCAGGCUGGUGAUCAGGCACUGGGAAUCCCAUUAGACAACGUGUGUUUGUUUGUUUGUUUGUUUGUGUGUGUGUGUUUGUGUGUGUGUUUGUGUGUGUGUUUGUGUGUGUGUUUGUGUGUGUGUUUGUGUGUGUGUGUUUGUGUGUGUGUUUGUGUGUGUGUUUGUGUGUGUGUUUGUGUUUGUUUGUGUGUGUGUUUGUGUGUGUGUGUGUUUGUGUGUGUGUGUUUGUGUUUGUGUUUGUGUGUGUGUGUGUGCGCGUGUGCGUGUGCGUGUGUGUGUGCGUGUGUGUGCGUGUGCGUGUGUGUGCGUGUUACAUGGUUGGGGGUGCGUGAACCCAUACCUGUAAAACUACCCAUACAAGCCGAAGGUCCAAGGGCAAUAUUUAUACGCCUAAAAGCCACGGAGAACAGGAAACACCGCACAUCAGCCCAGACUAGCGUCCAAAAGGGGUAACUGAGUUUCGGCGAGCCCACAUACGUUCCAACAUACUCGCCAGACGCACUGGUUCCCAUUUCAUGGCCUCCAACAUGCUUAGACAACGGAAUGAGGUUCAAGUAAGCGUGUCUUGGUUGUUGAUGUUGUUACAGGGUGGUUAAGCUUCACCAGUGGCCUCCUUCCCGAGGCAAUUCCCUGCUCUCCCCUGCUAGAGGGGCACCCUAAGCCAUUCACCCCAUCCGACUUCAGAGUGUACUCUUCGAGUUUGGCAACUCACCACCAGCAUCCAAUCAAAUCUAGCGGAUCAACGGCGCCUAAGCUUAGUUCCUGGUCAGCUCGCGAGUUGAUUUUAUCACGUCCUACACCGUCCACAGGAUGGGGGGCCACCUCCCAUUUCAACACCUCUCAAACACCCGAGAGAUCGGAAGGCUGAUUUGAACCCGGGUCGACCGGGAGCAGAAGUCAGGCCUUAACCUCUGCCAGCCGCCUGCCGGUUGUUGUCUUAAAUUCGUUAGGUUGAUACCUGGGUGCAUCGGGGGUUAUUCCAUUAUCUCAAUAAAUUUAUCCUAGUAUCUCAAUCUACCUCGCGGGAGGCGGCAGAAAAUGUCUAGAGUUGUUUCCAGCGUCCAUCCCGCGGCCCUCCCGCGGCUCUUCCGCGGUAUCACCGUAUUGCGACUAUUCUGGACGAGCCCAGGGCUUCGGGUGUUCUUGAGGGUCCUGCCUUAGCUUAACUUUACAUUAUGCUUUCAUGAUGCAGUUUAAAUUUUUGUGCUUUAACCGCGUGGGCCUAGGAUCGCCAGAAUGAGCCCGACCUUCAGCUAGCUUCCCAACGGGAAGGAAGAGCAUGUGCUGACGUGAAUUCUGAGUCGCUCUCAUGGUGUCUGUUCUUUAUACAUCUACACCACAGCUUCAAUGCUUCCUGCUGCUGCUUAUUGCAUGGGGGUGCUUAUUGCAUCAUCGCGAUAAUUGCGCAAAUCUGAAUUGGAGCGCAAGGGCGGGCGUUUCGCUUGUGACAAAUCGCUGGCGGUUGUCUUUUGGACUCGGUCUCGAACGUGUGGAAGCUGUAUAUGUCGAUGAUACGGCAGUCGCCGGCGCCGCAUGCCAUAUGCUUCUUUCAUCACUCUCAAGUGCAAGAUUGUGUGAAUUGCCCGACGGGUUUCAUGCUUGACAAUCUUUAGCGCUAAGGGUGCUCGUACCGGGUACUACCCAGUUGGCGGUUUUUGGAUUGCUUGGCCGUACUCAAAUGCAGUCGCGAGCUGGGCAUAUAUUCAUUGCGCUAGUUAGAGUUUGUCGCUUCCCGGAAUUUGCUGUAUGAGGCACGACUUCUGCCCUGUGCGUAGCAGGCUUCAAUUGGCGCUAGGGCUCGACGGGGAAGGCGGAAGCACUACGAAUAUGAGGCUUACAGACAUGUGAGAAGGAUAUGCGUGUAAUAACCGAUGGUUUGCAUCGAGUGCUAUGCGACAUUUGGAUAUUUGCGACUACAAGGAGUUCGUGAUGAGCCUCGAGAGGUUCAAAUUUGACACCUAAAAUGAUCAGACACAUAUGUUAAAUAUUAGAAUGUUUUUGUACAUCGUGUCAUGGUGCAAUCUGAGUCCCGAUAACAUGAUCGGGCAGCGACCACGUACGACGCCCUGUGCAAGAUACUAGUCGAGGCAAAAUAUACUUGUCUCUUACCAUACUUCGUCAAUCUUAAGCAUACGUUUAUCCAGGUAUAACCACUGCCAACACAUAUGGCAUUGGACACCAACCCGUUGCGAUAGAAGAGGAAUGAAAUGCGACUAGCAGAACGUGUCAGGUGUUGGUUUCGUAAACUGGGGCCUUCUGAUAACGCAGCUGAAGCACAUGUAACAACCGUUCAGCAAAGCAACGCUGGAGAAGAGGUCGAAGCUGCAAGCGCAGCGGGAGCAGGCGUGGCGGUUGGGGCCACAAGUGACAGCUCGCACAAGGAGGCAUUUGCUCCUCUGCCCCACUCCGUGCAGCCAGCUCAAGAGAAGCUUCCGGUGGCAUCAGUUCAGCAGCCACCUCAGGAGGAGCUUCCGGUCACACCAGCUCCACAGCUGGAGCCUCAACCGGCGCAGCAGGCCCCUGCCCAAGUAUGUGGGUCAUGGGAGCCUUCCGCACGCUGUUGCUUAAAAAGCCGCAGACAGCG